UUUAACUCCAAUAAACCCAUUUUCAUCAUUUCCUUCCCAAAUUUCAAUCAGCUCCAAAAUGGCUAUCGCCGCCGCCAGAUCCGUUUUCCGGUCGUCGGCCGUCCGCAGCGCCGCCACGAGGCUAGCGUCCCAAGCGAAGUCCGCUCCCUCCCCUUCGCCGUUCCGCCUCCCCUCCAGAACUCCCCUGCUAGCUCAUCGCAUCUUCCGGUCUCCUGCUGAAUUGAGCGCGUGCGCGGAGUCGAUGCAGCCGUUCCACACCGCCACCGCCUCGGCGUUGAUGACAUCGAUGCUCACCGUCUCUCGAUUCGGUUACGGUUGGCUCGCUGAAGCUUGCAAUGAUGAUGUGUGAUGAUCUUUCGAAGCCAAAGUCUUGUUUGAGCUUGAGAAGACCCAACUGUACUGUAUUCAGACACAGGAACUAUCGAAUAUCUUUUAACGAACAUGCCUAAAUACCAUCUUCCCCUGCUUUAGUUAUUCUCGAAAUUGCAAUAAUGAUCUGUGAUCAGUACCAGAUCAACCAGCGUCGUCUCUUUCUGGUAUUAUGAUACGUAGUCGGAAGACUCUGUGUACCGAAUAUGAGCGUUCCAUGUUUAAUGCUAUGGUUCCGACGAAUUUCCAGCUGAACAUGUCUUGUUUUUGAAUAGUUUGCUGAAGCAAAUAUGAUUAAAUGGAAAAGAAGUUAAAUGGAUUUUUUUCA
Salvia hispanica is the source of this 697-nucleotide RNA transcript. It is a transcript of the gene named protein NUCLEAR FUSION DEFECTIVE 6, mitochondrial-like, with no coding region annotated. The record is from RefSeq and is a predicted model, not a curated record. Lineage: Eukaryota; Viridiplantae; Streptophyta; Magnoliopsida; Lamiales; Lamiaceae.